AGUCUACCUGCCCACUGAAUUUAUUUAAAUGGCCGCAGUAUCCUAACUGUGCAAAGGUAGCAUAAUCAUUAGUCUUUUAAUUGAAGGCUGGUAUGAAUGGUUGGACGAGAUAUUAACUGUUUCAUGAAAAUUUAUAAUAGAAUUUUAUUUUUUAGUCAAAAAGCUAAAAUAAAAUUAAAAGACGAGAAGACCCUAUAAAUCUUUAUAUAUAAAUUAUUAGAAUUUUGUAGAUUUUUUUUAUUAUAAUAGUUGAUUAUAUUUUAUUGGGGUGAUAUUAAAAUUUAAUAAACUUUUAAUUGUUUAAAUCAUUAAUUUAUGAAUAAUUGAUCCGUUAAUAACGAUUAAAAAAAUAAGUUACUUUAGGGAUAACAGCGUAAUUUUUUUGGAGAGUUCAUAUCGAUAAAAAAGAUUGCGACCUCGAUGUUGGAUUAAGAUAUAAUUUUAGGUGUAGCCGCUUAAAUUUUAAGUCUGUUCGACUUUUAAAUUCUU
This 489-nucleotide ribosomal RNA is filed under the name Ravinia derelicta. RNAcentral describes it as "partial 16S ribosomal RNA". It matches the Rfam family "Bacterial large subunit ribosomal RNA", at positions 1898 to 2597 of the family's 2925-position model. The record is from RNAcentral. Lineage: Eukaryota; Metazoa; Arthropoda; Insecta; Diptera; Sarcophagidae.